This 1484-nucleotide long non-coding RNA is filed under the name Parus major (Great Tit). RNAcentral describes it as "lncRNA (ENSPMJG00000008302.1)". The record is from RNAcentral. Lineage: Eukaryota; Metazoa; Chordata; Aves; Passeriformes; Paridae.
CAGGAGUGGGGCUGUCAGAGUCACUGAAAGUGAAGCACAAUUCAACAUAAAUAAGCAGCCUUGAGAACCAUCAGCAGAAUAUUAAAUCAAAAUACUGAUUUAUUCUGUAUUAACUGCCCUGUGGUUUCAGCUCCAGCCAAGAAAGGCCUCUGAACUCUCUGUGUGCAGAGAUUUUGCCUUUGGUGGGUAUUAUAAUAAUGGAAUCAUGGAAUGAUUUGGGUUGAAAAGGACCUAAAAGCCCAUCUCAUUCUACACCUGCCAUGGGCAGGACACCCUUCACUGUCCCGGGCAGGACAAGCUGGCCUCGGGCACCUCCCGGGCUGGGGCAGCCUGUGCCAGCCUGCCAGCACUGUCCCAGGGAGGAAUUUCUUCCUCACUUCUUCCAGUGUAAAACUAUUGUCUUGUCCUAUCGCUAUCUGCCUGUGUAAAAAGUCACUCUCCAUCCUUUCACCAGCCGCCUUUAGGCCCUGAAGGGGCUGUGGGCUUUCCCUGGAGCUUUCUCUUCUCCCGGUGAAGGCCCCCAGCGCUCCCAGCCCGGCUGCAGAGCGGGGAGCUCCAGUCCCCGGAGCAUCUCCGGGACUCCCUUCGCACCAGCAGCUCCAAAACCAACCCCCACCGGCUCGGGCCGUUCCCGAGCGGCACGGGAGCUGUUCUCUGCCGGUCCCGAGCCCCACAGCGCCGGGCUCCGCUGCCGGCACUUCUCCUCCCGUUCCCCAGCUCCGCUCCCGGCGCUUCCCGGAGGAUCCCGGGCGCCGCUGCAGUCCCGGCUCCCGCCGCACGAGGGCGCUGUCCCCGGCGGGCCGUGCCCUGCUCGGCGCUCCGGCCCGCGGCUGCUCUCGGUGCUUUCCCGGGCCCGCUCCCGGUCCCCGCUUCCGCUCCCCGCUUCUGGCCGCGUGGCGCUGAGAGAGGCUCGGGGACAUGGCGGGCACGGGGAUUUCCUGCGGGGGCUCAGCCCCAGAGAAGCCACAGCUCCAGAUGGUGACAUGGAUGAGACUCGGUGCUUCCAUUCCUGAGGUGAGGGCGCACCAGGUGGCUGGACUGAGAGGUGAUUCUGCAGGAUGGUGAGAGCUGCUCUUGCAGUUUGGUUAUACCUGUGUGGUCUUUUUGGGUUAUCACAGAAUCAUAGAAGGGUUUGAGCUGGAAAGGACCAUAAAGACCAUCUCCUUCCACCCCCUGCCAUGGGCAGGGACACCUCCCACUAGCCCAGGUUGCCCCAAGCCCUGUCCAGCCUGGCCUUGAACAUGUCCAUAGGGUAGCCACAGCUUGUCUGGGCAACCUCUGCUAGGGCCUCCCCACCGUCAUUAAUUCCCUAAUACCCCACCUAACCCCUCCCUGUGCCUGUUGAAACCAUUCCCCCUUGUCCUGGCACUCCAUGCUCUUGUAAAGUCCCCCUCCAGUUUUCCUGUAGGUUAUAGAAAGCAGUUGUGCCUAAAUGGAUGGUGAACAUGAAUAAAAUCCAUUUUUCAAAGUUGACUUGCUUUUUU